CCUACGGGAGGCAGCAGUGGGGAAUAUUGGACAAUGGGCGCAAGCCUGAUCCAGCCAUGCCGCGUGAAUGAUGAAGGCCCUAGGGUUGUAAGGCUCUUUCACCGGUGAGGAUAAUGACGGUAACCGGAGAAGGAGCCCCGGCUAACUUCGUGCCAGCAGCCGCGGUAAU
Molecule: ribosomal RNA, 169 nt
Filed under: uncultured bacterium
Lineage: Bacteria
Description: partial 16S ribosomal RNA
Rfam family: Bacterial small subunit ribosomal RNA
Source: RNAcentral